CCCUUUGUAAUACGAUCACGCCUAUGCUUUCAAUAAAACAGCUGAGCAACAGAGGAGACUUUGAAGAUGAUCUACCACACUCUGUGGUGAACCAUGGAUCAGUCUUCCCUUUUGCAAAAGCGAGCUAAUAGCUGAAAAGUUGUCUGUGUGUUCCUUGACUCUACUGUGACGAUUCCUGGACCUGACAUAUUACUUGGUGCCGUGACCCGGAUCCCAACAUACCCAUUUCCUGACUUGAGGAGGAGACCAGCCGAAGCCCGUCGACAGCCAGCCUGCAUAGGACAGAGCUGAAUCAAAGCCCUGGGAGGUGACGUUCCUCGCCAGGCCGGCAAUUAGGAGUCUCCUCCACUCGACAGGACUGGAUUGACGGGAUCCGAAGCGUCCACAGGAGUCAACGAAACCGGACGGGAAAUACUCAAAACCUCGGAGACUGUGAAGCCAGGAGAUUGGGUGUUCGUUAAGGUCAUGAAAAAGAAGUGUUGGUCCAGCCCAAGGUGGGACGGGCCAUACCAGGUGCUCCUGACAACACCCACCGCAGUAAAGAUCGCUGAAAGACCCAGUUGAAUCCACCUCAGCCACUGUAAGCUGCAGAGAGUGCUGGAGCCUCCAGACGAGUAGGGGGAAAGUCCACCUACAAAGGGGGGUCACUUUAUAGUGGAUUCGUCUCAAUGGUUGUGAAGAAACCAACAGAUCCCUACUCAAUUAGGCGGAGCGCUUCUGGUGGCUCUGCAGUGUAGCAGCAAUGUCCCCGGCAACUGAGACGGACCAGCGGAGGCGCUGUCAUCGUCGGUGUGCUGAAGGAUGCUGUGCUGUAGCUGUCGUUAUCAUUUUCCUAUUUAGAGGAACAGUUUGGUGGCUCCUACAACAUGUAAAAUUAUCAGUUGAAAAGAGAGUCAAUCCAGUCAUUCCCCAUUCUUAUGCAGUAAAUGAAUGGUGGAAGUAUGCAAAUUACAUUGCAAGAAAUCAGAACAUGUCUAACUGCUAUGUGUGUACCCAUCUACCUAGCUCCGGAGUGAAUGCAGGAUUUUGGCCAUACAACGUGUCCAGUAACAAGACCCUCUGCCUCAUGGGACUGAGUACGCACCCUGGAAACGCCAGCCUAUCUCAGGCUAAACUACAGUGUACCGUUGAACCAUGCCAAAGUCCAGCAGGGUAAGGUACUAAUUGGUUUUAACUGCUCUGCUGUAAGAGAUGUCCUCGACUGGCCACAGACAGAAAACCCUGAAUCGGUGCCAGGUGUGGUCUACAUUCAUCACCUGGACAAAGGAAGUUUCCCUUGGUGUGUGGUUGUAAAUGGAAGUAAAGAACUAGGUAUCACACCCUCACAUCUGUGCAAUCAGAUUGUUUCAUUCUGUUCUAUGACUAAUUACACUGCCUGCAACAAAUGUGCGAUGGCAGCUAACUGUUCAACGAAUUCUACCUGCCUGUUCAAUGCCUGUUGGAACACUGUGUACUUACAUUCCAAAUGAAGCUAGUGAUGGUGGAGCCAUACACUGGGCUCUACAGAAUCUCACUGCCCUACAAAGGUAUGUUGAGGAUCACACCCCGGGAGCAUCGACCACGGGACUGUUGGACUGGUUGACAUAGGGCUCCUGGUGGCAAGUAUUAUUGAAAACUGUUACACCCCUUCUGAUCAUUUUGGCAUUAUUUUUUGUACUGUUUAUGUGUGUUUUACUAUGUCUUCGCAGUAAGGUUAUGCGCACUGUAAGUGCUUUCCUUCAACAUCAGAUGCUGGUACAGAAUCACAACUAUGUUCCACUGAAUGUUAACAAUGUUGACAAGUAUGAUGACCUCGAUCCUUAUGGUGAGGAUACUGUGUAAAAGAGACAUGCAUAAUGAUGUUCAUGUUGAAAAUGUGAAGAGCAAGUAACAUGGUACUGAUGAAAAUGCUGUCAAAUGAUAAACAGGAGGGAAAUGUGAGAACUGUGCAAACUUCUUAUCAUCUGCCAGCAGUAACUUAAAACACCUCCCUGAUAGAUGAGUGUAAUAUGAGACCUCAUGAUGUUUGUUCCACGUGACGGAAAAUUGAUAACAAAAAUAUGUGUUUCGAGUAAUUUCUUAACAAUCAAUUAAUCGAUAAUCGAUUAAUUGUGGUCAUCCUUAGCCAGCACUUUGUGUUCUUUCAGGAUAUGAUAAGAGGUAGCAGCACAUUGAAAAACAACUUCAAGGUGAUUCUGCCCAGCAACUUGUGACUUACUGUUGUGCAAACCAAUUAAAUAUUAUCACACCCUUUGUAAUACGAUCACGCAUAUGCUUUCAAUAAAACAGCUGAGCAACAGAGGAGACUUUGAAGAUGAUCUACCACACUCUGUGGUGAACCAUGGAUCAGUCUUCCCUUUUGCAAAAGCGAGCUAAUAGCUGAAAA
Notolabrus celidotus (New Zealand spotty) is the source of this 2365-nucleotide long non-coding RNA. RefSeq lists it as uncharacterized. The record is from RefSeq and is a predicted model, not a curated record. The transcript is spliced from 2 exons. NCBI's taxonomy places the organism in Eukaryota, Metazoa, Chordata, Actinopteri, Labriformes, Labridae.